Molecule: long non-coding RNA, 137 nt
Organism: Maniola jurtina (meadow brown)
Lineage: Eukaryota; Metazoa; Arthropoda; Insecta; Lepidoptera; Nymphalidae
Exons: 4
Source: RefSeq, a predicted model, not a curated record
UAAAAUCUUAACGUUGAGCGAUAAUGUCUUAUUUCAUUGAUGCACCUUCGGUUUUAGACAGCGUUAGGGUGCGCUUUUCUGUGCAAACGAAUUUUUCCAAUGCGACUUAUGAAAGUGGUAGUACUGGACACGAUUUA